CGCCGCGGCCGCUUCCGCUCUGUUGCUGCUGGUGUGAAGAGGAAAGGAGGGAUUUCUUCUUUUUAGUUCUUGGUGGCUUUUAUGUAAUAAAUGGUAGGAUUGGCUAAAUAGGUGGUGAAUGGAAGCAAUUCCUUGGUGGCUUUUAUAUAUGUGUGUGAGAUUCAUUAUAUUCUCAUAAAUUUUGAUCUCUUUAAUUAAGGUCAUGCAUGAUGUUUACUUCUUUCUAAUCUUUUUAUAUAGAUAUAUAGAUUAUUUGAUGAUGAUACUAUAAUUGAUGUUUUUGUCGAUGCGAGAUGUUUCGAAAUAAAAGAGAAGUGUCAAGAGAAGCAGCAGUAGAAUAAGCAGAUUACAAUCUUCUACAAGGGGCAGAUUUGCGUCUGCGACAUCACAGAGAUUCAGGUGUGUUGGUGGAGGUGCAAAAUUGAAACAAUUGAAAUAGAUGAUGAGGACGGCGGUGGCCGCUUUGCCGGCAACAGCGGCAGACAGCAAGGCGGCUUCGGCGGCGUCAACGCCGAUCGCCUCGCCUCACCUCACCUCACCUCGAUCUUACCUCGCCUCAUCUCAUAUACCCAUAAUAAAGAAAAACAAAUAUAAAGCAGCUGCGCGGGGCCGAGCGUCACGGCGCCACCUCCGACGGCAGAGGGGUCCGGCUAGGGUUCCGGGGGUCCCCGGUUGCUCCGGGAGUUGCAGGGGACGACGCCGCGCCGCGGAACCCGAUCUGCUUCAUCGCGCAGCGGCUUCUCGCUCCCGCAGAAGCUUCCCGUCGUAAGCGAGAGAGAGAGAGAGAGAGAGAGAGAGAGAGAGAAGGGUUUUGUUUUGAAAAGGGCGAGAGGGAAUUAAGCGAAGUUCGAUCGAGCCGAGCCGCGUAGGUUUCUCUCUCACAAUCUUAUAAUAUUCGAGUCCGAGUUCGAACGAGUUAACCCGAACCUACUGCAACCGACCGACCACUUCUUUAUCCGGAUCUACAUAUUUUUUUAUUUUUUUUAAAGAUAAAAUUUUAACAAAAUGAUGAACAUAUUAUGUGUUAUGUUAAUUUUUUUUUUAUAUUUUAAGAUGAAAAGAAUGAGUGAUUGCCUAUUGAACAUAUGAUUCAGCAUAUUGUAUAGAAGGAGGAGAGAAUGCUGAUGUACCAAUUGAAAUAUUUCAAAGAUUUUAUUUACCCUCAAAAAAAGAAAAAAAAAAGUGAGGUCCGAAGUAUAA
Long non-coding RNA from Ananas comosus (pineapple), 1200 nucleotides. RefSeq lists it as uncharacterized. NCBI's taxonomy places the organism in Eukaryota, Viridiplantae, Streptophyta, Magnoliopsida, Poales, Bromeliaceae. The transcript is spliced from 2 exons. The record is from RefSeq and is a predicted model, not a curated record.